AGUUAAAUGAAUGAGAUAGAAAAAUGUUUUUCUCUUUUUUUUUAUUGCUUUACAAUAUAGGCAGUCUCAAACUUGCAUAUAUCUGAGGUUAGUCCCUUAUAUAUGAAUGACUAAACUGCACAGCUGCUACAGAAAUCCCUCUUGCCAUUGCAGGUCUAUCUUGUCAAAACAGGAGCAAGUAGAACUUCUAGUUCUAUUGGUCCUAGGGCAGGGCCUAAUGGAGUUGACCAUAAAUAUGUUCUGAUUCUAUUGAUAUGGCCAUGUGAAUUGGCUCUACUUGAGGGACAGCCACCUCAUUUUACUGAGGUUGCACAGAAAAACCCUGAUUGGUCCUCAUGUGAUCCUGGGACUGAAGGGUUGUGUUGAAGAUGAAUGCUAACUAAAUCAAGCAGAGAAGACUUUUCAGGAGGCUCUAAGAUCUGUAGAAAAAUCGCAUCCCCUCUUUUUGAGCUUCUUAGUAUAAGGGCAGAUUCCUACACUAGCUUUUCCUUGGACUAUCAAUGUCAUCUGCAACUUAAGUACAUGCCAGCAAGAAUAUGUGCUUGCCUAGUUGAGGUCUCUUGUCUGUUUCCCUAAUUUGAGUUCACUAAGUGACCAUCCUGAGAAUGAGUUUUUUCCACAUUAAUAAAAUAAUGGAGAAUUUGGAAGUUCCUGAGUUAAUUAGUGCUGACUUCUCCUUGGUAUGUGCUUCUUAAAAAUGACACACAUUUUUGAAGGAGAAGAUCCCUGUCAGGAUCAUUCCUAGCCUGAAAGGACUAAAGAGCCAUGUAUGGCUAGCUAGGAGUUAGUUUUUAUGAGUUGCUCAGACAAUACAGGUCUGAGAUGAAUGUGAAAUAUUAUUUGGCAGUCCUACAAAUGUUUUUCAACUUCCUGGCAAAGCAUAAAGAUAAACAUGAUGGGUAAUUGUGUUUUAAAUAUUUGUUGAUGUGUGCUGAGUCUUUUGUGUUGCAAGAAUUUCCUUUGUGGUGGGGGAAAUGAAUAGUACUCUAAGAUUUGAAAUCUACUUUUAACACAGUACUUUUUUUGAGAAGGGACCCUUUAGGGAAGACUUUAGAUAUACUUAAGUUCUGUUUUAGAGAUUUUCUAGGUAUUCUAUUCUGGAGAAUAAGUUGGAGAAUGUGAAAAAAACUUUGGACAUAUUUGAGAUCAGAUUCACGUCCUUUUCCACUCAAGAUUAAUCAGGGGUCUAUCAAAGCCAGAGGCCCUUCUGGGAAGGAGAUACUACUUCAGCUGCAAGGGACACUGUUUAAAGCUGGAUUCAAUACAUUUCAAAUAUUGGAGUGGAUGGCUUGUCUCUUGGAAUAACUGAAUUUUUCAAGAUUUAGCUCAAGCUCCAUCUUCCUCAAGGUAUGCAUCUGGAAGAUGGAGGACUAUAGUAUAUAUAGAUUCAUGAGCAAACCUCUUCAAUUCAUCUAGGAAUGUCGUCUCUAGAAAAAAUCCAUAAGGAGACUACUGAUACCUAAUGGGAGGAACAGAGAAAUGAGAACUGAAAUAUUACCUUUAAAAUUAACUCAUUAAAUUCAUGUUAAAAUUUAAUAA
Monodelphis domestica (gray short-tailed opossum) is the source of this 1539-nucleotide non-coding RNA. Lineage: Eukaryota; Metazoa; Chordata; Mammalia; Didelphimorphia; Didelphidae. The record is from RefSeq and is a predicted model, not a curated record.